Molecule: ribosomal RNA, 2349 nt
Filed under: Triticum aestivum (bread wheat)
Lineage: Eukaryota; Viridiplantae; Streptophyta; Magnoliopsida; Poales; Poaceae
Description: partial small subunit ribosomal RNA
Source: RNAcentral
AUGCCGGUCUCCACGCGCUCGCAGGCCAGCGCCAUCAAGGGCGGCGACCCGGGCGCGCGCCAGUGGAGCUCGUCGGCGGCGCGGGUGCCAAUGUCGGCCCCGGGCCGCGACGCCGCGGGGCGCCGGGCGUCGCUCCUCCCCAACACGCACCACGGGCUCAAGGAGAAGAUGCGCGCGCUCAACCUCUUCUACGAGCAGCACAAGCAGAUGCUCGCCUCCUCGCAGGGCGGCGCCGCCAUGCGCCGCAGCCGCACCAUCCCGCACGCCAACGUCGGGGAGGACAGGGACGAGAACGCUGGGGAGGAGGAGGAGGAGGGGGAGGGGGCCAGGCGUCACCGCGACGCCUUUGCUCCGCUCCCCGAGGCGGCGGUCCUCAGGGACAGGGAGAACAACAUGGGGCCUCCGGAGGCGAGGGCCCCUUCCAAGAACGACAAGGUCGUCGUCUUCUCGCGGCCGCCGGAGCCCAAGGAGAAGGAGAACGUGGCCCUCGCCGCCAACGUCAUGUCCUGCCCCGUCAAGAAGGCGGCGCCGGCUCUCCCCGCGCUGCAGGCCAGGAAGCUCUCACUCGGAGGAGGCAUCGGCGGCAAGCUCAAGGCUGUAGGGGAGAUGGGAGCUGCCAAUGCUGACGCAACAGGGAGCCGGAUCAUGGUCUUCGUCAGGCUGCGGCCCAUGUCCAGGAAGGAGAAGGAGGCCGGGUCCAAGACCUGCGUCAAGAUCGUCAACAAGAAGGACGUGUACCUCACGGAGUUGGCCUCAGAGAACGACUACCUCCGCCUGAAGCGCGUGCGAGGUCGCCAUUUCUGCUUCGACGCUUCCUUCCCCGACUCCACGGCGCAGGCCGAAGUCUAUAGCACCUCAACAGCAGAUCUUGUGGAAGGUGUUUUGCAAGGGAGGAAUGGGACCGUGUUUUGCUAUGGAGCAACAGGGGCUGGGAAGACCUACACAAUGCUCGGGACCAUGGAUAACCCUGGCGUAAUGGUGCUCGCAAUCAAGGAUUUGUUCUUGAAGGUGAGGCAGAGGAGCUAUGAUGGCAACCACUCGAUUCAGCUGUCGUACCUCGAGGUCUACAAUGAGACAGUGAGGGACUUGCUAUCUCCUGGUAGACCCCUCCUUCUGAGAGAAGACAAGCAGCAGGGAACUGUUGCUGCUGGUCUUACACAAUAUAGAGCAUACUCUACAGAUGAAGUUAUGAAAUUACUUCAGCAAGGCAACCAGAAUAGAACAACUGAACCAACUCGAGUUAAUGAGACCUCAUCGCGCUCCCAUGCAAUACUACAGGUUGUCGUGGAAUAUAGAUACAUGGAUGGAACUAGUGUUGUAACACGAGUUGGAAAGCUCUCACUCAUUGAUCUUGCUGGAUCAGAGAGGGCUAUAGCAACUGACCAACGCUCACAGAGGUCGCUGGAAGGAGCGAACAUAAAUCGGUCUCUCCUCGCACUCAGCAGUUGCAUCAAUGCUCUUGUGGAGGGGAAGAGGCAUGUGCCAUAUCGCAAUUCCAAGCUGACCCAGCUCCUCAAGGAUUCACUUGGGGGAUCCUGCAACACUGUCAUGAUUGCAAACAUCAGCCCUUCGAAUCUUUCCUUUGGUGAGACACAGAACACUCUUCAUUGGGCUGAUCGCGCCAAGGAGAUAAAAACAAAGCCAUUGACCGCUGGGAAUGAGGAAGUUUUCAAGGCGCCAGAUUCUGAUACUGAUCAGGCCAAGCUAGUACUGGAGCUUCAGAAGGAGAACAGUGAGCUGAGGCAGCAGGUGGUGAAGCAGCAACAGAAGCUGCUGACUGUUCAGGCUCAGUCACUUGCUCCCAACGGCUUGCCACAACAAUGUGCUGCCCCCUCACCUCACAUUACCACCACGCCAUGCUCAACGCAAAGAAAGGUGAAGCGGUCUAUUCUAGACGGGAGCUGUUUCAGCACACCAAAUUCUAAGAGGCCAGCAGACAAUGCAAUGGUCCGGGAUCUGCAGAGGAAAGUGAAGACCCUGGAGUCCGAGAUCGAGAAGAUGAAGAAGGAACACUUUCUGCAGCUCAAGCAGAGGGACGAGUUCAUCCGCGGUUUGAUCAACAGGAAGAACUCAAAUGACCCUGAACCAGCAACAGCUGAGAGAAGAGUGAUCACAAGGGCAAGCCUACGUAAGGCCGAGAAAGAUGCAGGUGAGCUGAAGAGCCCGAGCCACCGGUUCACGUCACCUGUGCCUACGGCUAAGAAGCGUACCUUCUGGGACUUUGGAGGCGAAAGCCCUUCAGUUCUUGCUGGAAAUGGGCGGAAGACUCGGAGCCAUGUAGCUGCUGAAACUCCAAUCAGGGUCCCUUCAAUGCUACUUCAGCCGGGAUUCACACGCCAAAGAGCCUAG